RNAcentral lists this small RNA (66 nucleotides) under Halobacillus alkaliphilus. RNAcentral's name for it is "Bacillaceae-1 RNA". It matches the Rfam family "Bacillaceae-1 RNA". The record is from RNAcentral. Lineage: Bacteria; Bacillati; Bacillota; Bacilli; Caryophanales; Bacillaceae.
GUAAAAGGAGGAUCGACUAAAGUCGCCAUGUCCUGUGGCACUUCGAUCGACCCUACGUCAUGUAAG